AAAAAGACAAACCCUGGUUUCCGUAUCCAACAUUUGACCGUCCGUCUUAUUUAAAAAAAUUAUGAAAAAAAUUAAAAAGACAAGUCACGCAUAAAAUAUUAAUCAUGUUUUAUCAUCUAACAACAACAAAAAUACAAAUUAUAAAAAAAUUUCAUAUAAGACGGACAGUCAAAGUUAGACACGAAAACCCAGGGUUUGACUUUUU
This 205-nucleotide microRNA precursor is filed under the name Oryza sativa Japonica Group (Japanese rice). Its description in RNAcentral is "MIR812 microRNA precursor family". It matches the Rfam family "MIR812 microRNA precursor family". The record is from Rfam by way of RNAcentral. Lineage: Eukaryota; Viridiplantae; Streptophyta; Magnoliopsida; Poales; Poaceae.